AGCUUAAUCAAAUUCAAAAAAAUCUCAAAGAAAUUUCAAAAAAAUAAUAAGAAUUCUUAAAAAAAUAUUAGAAGGAUCACAAAUAUCACUCAAAUACAUCUCAAUUCAAUCUUAAUUUAAUUCUAGUUAAAAUCCUAUUGAACUUCAUUCAAACUUUAGGCCAAAACUAAUUGAAUCUUAAAUCCUAAUAAAAUCCUAAAUCCUAAAUCAAACCUUAAAUAAAUCUUAAAUAAAAUCUCAACCAAAUCCUAAAUCAAAUC
This 260-nucleotide long non-coding RNA is filed under the name Physcomitrium patens. RNAcentral describes it as "long non-coding RNA (PPAT_LNC002566)". Lineage: Eukaryota; Viridiplantae; Streptophyta; Bryopsida; Funariales; Funariaceae. The record is from RNAcentral.